RNAcentral lists this non-coding RNA (22 nucleotides) under Arabidopsis thaliana (thale cress). Lineage: Eukaryota; Viridiplantae; Streptophyta; Magnoliopsida; Brassicales; Brassicaceae. The record is from RNAcentral.
UUCAUUUCAGCUACCGAUUUAU